CUCUCUCUCACUCUCACUUUCUCUCUGUCUAUUUCCCUCUCCCCUUUCCUGCUGUGUCGCACUUCUCUUUCUCUUUCCAUAAGACGUACCUCUCUCUGCUCCCUUCUCAUUUGUCUUUCAAUUUCUCCCACAUGUGCUUAUCUGCUUCAGAUGUGCUGCUGUACCUUUUGCAUUGAAGAAAGUUUCUGAUGUUUUUUCUUUUUCUGUCCUGUUGGACUGAGAACAGGCGUGCACAGCUUCUUCAGCUGGGCUUUCUACAUUGAAGGGGGCAGGACUCGUACCGCACACAUAUAUACACACACACACGUGUUCCUGUCCGUUCAAUGGGUGUAUGGUGUGGGAACGGAGAUGGGGAGGUCCCUGCGUUCUUCACGGCCCGGGCAGCCGUGUUGUCAGGGACGGGCCCCGGGUGAUGAAGCCUGUGAGGAGUUUGCAGAGAUGUUCCACUCAACAAUGGUAAGAAUCGUCAGAUCUUUGCCAUCAGAGCAGACUUUGCAAUCCGAGAGAUUCCUCAGGAAUUCUUAGCCGUCUUUCUAUCUCAUAUCUAUGUCGUGGAUCACCUCUGGACACUUUCCUAAACUCUUUUUGGAAUUUAUUUUCAGUGCUUUAAGAAAAAAAAAAAACAAUGAUGAAGACACACACUGAGAAAGUCUUUGUGAUACCUUCAGCAAGCACAUAUAGUGGAGCAGAUGGUGGCCCUCAUUGGGUGAGUAAUUCAAGACAUUGACUUAUAUCUGGGGGCCCAUGAGCAAAUGGAAGGCAAAACGGUGUGUGCACAUGGACAUAUGUGUGAGUGUGUGUGGUUUUGGUGUGUAAGAGAGGGUGGGCGGCCUUCUUAGAUGUAUAGCGGAAAAUGAAAGAGUUAAAUGAAAACGAGGAGAGAAAGUCACCGACAAAUGUGCCAUUGAGCUCCUUUGCUGUGUACGCUGGGGAAACCCUGUACAUAGUCUGCAAGGUGUCUACCUACAGUUCCCAUAACACAUCAAAUUGACAGUUGGACUGUGGAAAUUAGUAUGGAGGCCGUGCCAUUGAUAAAUAACAGGCCGAAAUGAGAUCAUGGGGUCCAGACUCUGUCCGUGGCUUUGAAAUUCCCAUCAUCUUGUUUUCAGAGCUAAAUGGCUUAGAUAGACAGGAGUUGUUGAUGCUUUAUGCCCACGUUGCUUGUUGUUGUUAUAACUUACUGUAAGAUCGCUUUCACAAACAUAGACUAAGCUUAGCUCGUGUUCUUAAAAUGUGUUUUAAAGCCAUAUAUGCUUUCUCCAAGGCAUGAAAUAGCAUGUGGAUGUAGCUUUGGGAUUAAGGCAAGACAUUACAGGUGAACAGAGUCCAGUGUUUUAUUAACAGAUGUCACAAUAGUUUCACCUGUUGAUAAAUCACAACUAGGGCUGUGAAUCUUUGGGUAGACAGCAAUUCAAUUCACGAUUCAUAGGUUUUCGAUUCGAUACAAGAACGAUUUUUGCAAAUUAAGAACGAUUCGAGUCAUGAUUUGAUUCUGUAUUGUUUAAGUGCAUGCACAGGAUUAUUUAAAUGCUUUGCCUAAAUUCUGUAAAUGCUUAGGCAGGGGAAGAUUACAUAGCAGUCUUUAUGGUUACAGAAACUUAGGUUAUAGAGAGAGAGAGAAAACAUUUUUUUCCAUUGUUAGAUGCUAGUUUAAAGGGGUCAUAUGAUGCAAUUUCAAUAUUUCCUUUCUCUUUGGAGUGUUACAAACUAUUGGUGCAUAAAGAAGAUCUGUAAAGUUGCAAAGACUAAAGUCUCAAAUCCAAAGAGAUAUUCUUUAUAAAAGUUAAGACUCGUCCACACCCCCCUGAAACGGUUCGUUUAAACACACCCCCACAUCUCUAUGUCACUAUGUGGGAUGAUUUAAAGAAAGAAAGGUUUACCUUUUAUUCUCGUUGUAGUAUUGUUGUUGCUGGAUAGCUGGCCAAUCAGAGCACACCUCACUCUUCAGACGGAUGAGCCUUGUAAAAAUUUACGUGUUUCAGAAGACGGGGCAUAGAGGAGAAACAAUAAUGUACAGUAUGUGGAAAAUAUUUGUUUUAACCUUAAACCGCAUAAACAUGUUUCAUUAAUUUUGAUUUGAUUUAAUGGUUUAUUUAAAAGGAGACAGUGCAAUUUUAUAAAACACAUGAACAAAAAUGGUUAAAAAAGCCAGAAUUAGCCAGAAGGCUAUUUUUCAUCUGUAGUCCCCUGGCCAAGAUGUAAAACAAGCAUUAAAAUACGAACAAAAAUAUACAUUUACAAGUCUAUGGCAAAUUGACUACAAUAUAAAUGACACUGUAAAAUAACAUAAGGUACAUUGUACCUGUUACAAUAAUCAGACACACAAAAAACACAUUUUCAAAAAUGGCUAUAGUGUAUCUAAUAUAUAAUACAGCUCAAUAGGCUAGACAUAAUUGUUAAUGAGCCAAAUUUUCAAUUUUUUUGUAAAGGCCUUGUAAGUGUUGAGCUGUCUAACCUCCUCAGGUAUAGAGGAAUAUACCAAA
This is a long non-coding RNA of Carassius gibelio (silver crucian carp), 2483 nucleotides long. RefSeq lists it as uncharacterized. The record is from RefSeq and is a predicted model, not a curated record. Lineage: Eukaryota; Metazoa; Chordata; Actinopteri; Cypriniformes; Cyprinidae. The transcript is spliced from 6 exons.